RNAcentral lists this ribosomal RNA (1971 nucleotides) under Triticum aestivum (bread wheat). RNAcentral describes it as "partial small subunit ribosomal RNA". The record is from RNAcentral. Lineage: Eukaryota; Viridiplantae; Streptophyta; Magnoliopsida; Poales; Poaceae.
AUUCUCUCUCUCCGCCGCCCUCAGCACACAACCUCUCCUUUCCUCUUUCUCCUCCGCGGCUCCGCCUGGUGGUGUCUCUCAUCCCACCCAAUCUCCCCUCUCCCUCACUCUUCCAUGGCGUCUAGGGUUGCGGCCGUCAGAAGCGCCGCUGGGAAAAAAUCUUCGGCAGGAAGAGGGCAUCUCCAACUCAAUGACGUUUCAUCGCGUGCUCCGCGACGGUGACGGCUACGGCAAGGGGAGGAGAUGAAUCCAAAGCAGCUCCGGGGCCUCCUGGGGGCCUGACCAAGUUCUCCUCCGUCGCCCCCCUCUCCAUCCUUCUCCUCUCUCAUUCUCUCCCCAUGCUUGUGGCAGUUGCAAGGAGGUAGACGAUGGGGUUCAGCGACCGCACGAGGGCAAGGGCAUCGAGCUCCCUCCUUCUGCUCCCAAUCAUCGGCGUGGGCACCAUCUGCUAGAUCUUCACCACCUUAGCACCGUGGUCCAGCUGAUAUGGUGCCACGGUUCUGCUCGGCAAUUGAAGGAUGGAUAAUAAUUGUCUCAGGAGUCAAAGAAGAUGCAGAAGAAAGUGAUCUCUAUGAUGCUUUUGCUGAGUUUGGUGAGGUCAAGGACUUGCAUUUGAACCUGGAGCGCCGCACUGGAUAUGUCAAGGGAUAUGCAUUGGUUGAAUAUGGAAUUUUUGAGGAAGCACAAACUGCAAACAGAAUAAUGAAUGGGACAGAGCUGUUAACAAAGACUAUCCAUGUUGAUUGGGCAUUCAACAGAGGUGGGCUUCGCUGCCAUGGAAUGACACCUCUGAUCUUCCAUGUAGAUGAGCUCGGGUUCAUGGAAGCCAUGUCCAAGCAAACUGAGUGCUUUGAAGUAUAUUACCCUUGCAAUGUGAUGGAACCAGUAGACAUUAUACCAUUGAGUGCAAUUCCCUAUGGGCAAGCCUUAAAUCAUUAUCUUGAACAGAUAGUUUCACUUUUUCGCGACAGAAUAUAUGCUGUGAAUGAAAUCGGCCUUGAUGACCGCUAUUUAGAAUUUAGGCAAGUGGAAGGAGAUGGGGAGUGUUUCUACAGGAGCUUCAUAUUUUCCUACCUUGAGCAAGUUCUUGAUAGGAAAGACACAAAUGAGGAACGCCGCCUCCUUGCAGCUAUCCAAGAGUUGGCUGAGGAACCUGCACGUUUUGGAUGGGCCUCUGAAUUUUCUAGGAGCCAUGAUGUUAAUGUCAAGGGCUUGAAAGGUGUGAGGGAAGUAAACAUGGAUCUGAUGAUCUUCCCUGCGAGGCGCUACAGAUCAGAUGGGCGCUGUUGUGAAGGCCGCGAAGGCGUGGCAGGUGGCAUGGGACCAAAUAGGGAAGAAAUCUUGCAUGCAGUCUCUCCAAAAGUGACUACUCAAAUGAAUCAUAGUCUAUGUGCGGAAUAUACAAAAGAGGAAGUGAAAGAAGCUCUGUUCAAUAUUGGUGACCUGAAGGCGCCAGGACCAGAUGGAAUGCCUACAAUAUUCUACAAGCAGUUCUCGCAACUGGUGGGCAAUAAGUUAACAGGGGAAGUGCUGAAGUUCCUUCGAGGUGGAGAAAUGCCGGAAGGAUGGAACGGUACCACAGUGGUGUUAAUUCCAAAAAUUUCAAACCCAGAGACCUUGAAGGACCUAAGAACAAUUAGCCUCUGCAAUGUCAUUUACAAGAGAAGGAGAAGGGGUAAGGUAGGAUAUGCUGUUGUAAAGCUCGACAUGAGUAAGGCUUACGGCCGAGUAGAAUGGACAUUCUUGAAGGAAAUGAUGUUAAAAUUGGGGUUUGAUAGUGAAUGGGUAAACCUGGUGAUGAAGUGUGUUGCAACUGGGAGGUACCAGAUCAAAGUUCCAGUUGCUGUGACAACUGUACGUCUGGUUAGGGAGGCUGAGAUUAAACUCAGAAGACCUCGUCUUCACCUUAUUCCCCUUGAGCUAAGGACACCCAGUCCUCGCCCAAUCACUCUGGGGGUGGGCUAUUUAUAG